Long non-coding RNA from Coturnix japonica (Japanese quail), 1795 nucleotides. The record is from Ensembl. Lineage: Eukaryota; Metazoa; Chordata; Aves; Galliformes; Phasianidae.
AUGGGGAGGCAUUUCAAAGCUGCUCAGAGCAAGACUCAAAACAACAGGAAAGCUGCUUUGGAUAAUCAUUACCUAUUCCCCUUCUCUCUUCAUGCUCAAGCUCAGCCAAAACAUAUUGGACAAACCUACUUCCAGAAACUAUUUCCAAGCAAAGAAAAGACAAGAAAGAUGGAAAGUGACAAUGUUGAAGUCUCUCAGGAAUCCAAUAAGAUGGAAAAGGAAGCCAAGCACCCAGACAGCCAGACCUCUGCCUUCCCACUGCACUGCCAGCAGAUCACCAUGCUACCGUUCAUCAAAGAGAACUUCAGUUUUUAUUUAGAAGAGAGCAGAGUCCAACUGUCUCCCUGAGGUCUGGUUUGGUUUUCCCACAGUCCACAGGGUGACAAAUGUCACGUUCCCAUCUCUCUAUUUGUGGAGCUCUUGCAGUGCUGGGUAAUUGCUCUGCGAUGCAUUGAGAUGCCCUUCAGAGGUGGAACUCUUCUGUUUGUCUUUAGAAAGGGGAUGAUCAAACAAGGAAAUAUAAUAGCUUUAUGAAUGCACAAAACGUAGACAGGCAGUAACAGCUCCUGAGCAUCACAGUGUCUGUGUUUCUCUUGCGAAGUGGAUGCAGCAGGAGGUGUUGGCAGAAUUCAGUCUGCUUGGUGUAGGUGACAUCAUCACCCAAAAAUCUGUGUGCAGAGGUUGAACUGGGGAAAAUGUCUAAGGCUGGUGCCUGGCAGACAGCACUGUUCCAGCUGCAAACACUGCUGACCACAGGCAGGACUCAGACAUUUGCUAAGAACGGAUAAGCAGGGCGGGAGCUGCUGAGUCAUGUUCCUCUGGGGAAGGUUUGCUGAGUCACAGUGCAGGCAGCACUCUGUCCUCUGCUGAUGCCACUAUGCAAGACUCCAGCUCUAGAUUUUUUUCCCCCUCACUUCUGAUCCAAAGUCAAGUCACUGUCCCACAGCAAAGCACCUGAUAUUGCACCACUGUCACGUGGCCUUGUUGCAUCUUUCCUACUGGCUGCUUGCUAACACAAGCCAUCACUGGUCAGUGAUACCACACCAGAAAAUGUAUCCUCUCCUCUCUCAGCACCAUCCAGACUGUGGGCUGCACUGGGAUGUGCUCACCCUCUGCUGAAUCCACGUCCCCAAUACGUGUUUGCAUGUUAUCUUCACUGCAGGCAGGAGGGAUAUAGGCAGUCAGACUCACCUUGGUAAAGCAGCACUGCAUCAGAAACCCAUCUAGAAAAGUGACCUUGACUUCCCAGAGGUUCUUCUCUCAAUUCAGAAUAUGUAUGGAGGAGCUGAAGCUGAUCGUACUCUCCCCUUUCAACACAGCAUUCAAACUGAAGUAAAGCUAGUAGUAUAACACGUAAAGUCACAUUUCACAUUUCCAGUAAUACCCCAGGUGCACUGCAUGGUUGCAGCAGUCACAUUCAUAUUUUUCAGGAAACCUGCAUCAGUAUAUUCAGUUUUGUUGGCUGAUAUACAUUUUUGACAUACUGAUUCAUGCAUGAAAGACAGUGCAUCCUGCUGUCAGCUGCCCUGGACUUGGACUAAACAACCCAAACAUCUAGGCUGUACUCUCAGGUACCAAUACUUAUAACCCUAUUUCAUUUAUUAAAGCCUUUUCAUAAGGAUUCAGUUGGGAAGCCCACCUUCUACAGAAUUUCGCAGCAGUGAUUUGUAGGAGCUACAUAACCAGAGCCAGAAAAUGAGAUCAGAGCUGGAGUAUGAAAGGAAUUGAUGCUAAAUGGAGGAAUGCCACAGCUGGAAGAACUGAGGGAAAUAAAUACUUUUCCAUAUCUGUUCCA